Molecule: long non-coding RNA, 618 nt
Organism: Xyrauchen texanus (razorback sucker)
Lineage: Eukaryota; Metazoa; Chordata; Actinopteri; Cypriniformes; Catostomidae
Exons: 4
Source: RefSeq, a predicted model, not a curated record
UUUCCUCUCCAGUCCAGUCAGCUACUGAGACAGCGUAGGGCCACAACCUCUUACUGCUCGACGUCAAAACCCGACACAGUACCAGUUCUAGCCAAAGUCCGAUAUUGAAAAUUUGGAAGAACAAGCUGAUCGGCUUUAACCAUCUUCACAAGCACUACUUGAGCAGGAGCAGUUUCACAGUGAUACCUUGCUGACGGGGUUUGAUGCUGCAGUAACCCUAGAUCUGCCUACAGCACCAUCUGAGAAGUGGUGCGGUACUUAUUCCUACACUGAUCCUCUCAGAAAGCCCUCCAGCAUGGUUGACUACAUGUGAAGCAGCAGUGUUCUGGAGCCGAACAGGGAGAAGAGAGGAUUUAUCUAACACAAGCAGACCAGCAUAGAGACAUGUCAUCCAACAGGGGCCAGAACACCCAUGGGCUCAAACAGAUUGGGCUGGACCAAAUCUGGGAUGACCUGAGAGCAGGAAUACAGCAGGUCUAUACACGCCAGAGCAUGGCCAAGUCACGCUACAUGGAACUCUACACACAUGUGUAUAACUACUGUACAAGCGUACACCAGUCUAACCAGGCCAGGGGUGCUGGCAUCCCCCCUUCCAAACCCUCCAAAAAAACUGCCACG